RNAcentral lists this signal recognition particle RNA (98 nucleotides) under Treponema phagedenis. RNAcentral describes it as "Bacterial small signal recognition particle RNA". It matches the Rfam family "Bacterial small signal recognition particle RNA". From Rfam's summary of the family: The signal recognition particle (SRP) is a universally conserved ribonucleoprotein involved in the co-translational targeting of proteins to membranes. Archaeal SRP consists of a 7S RNA and homologues of the eukaryotic SRP19 and SRP54 proteins. Lineage: Bacteria; Pseudomonadati; Spirochaetota; Spirochaetia; Treponematales; Treponemataceae. The record is from Rfam by way of RNAcentral.
UUCCGGGGCCUAUGCAAGGAAUGUUUUUCGAACCCGCCAGGUCCGGAAGGAAGCAACGGUAGAUUAAUUAUUUCUGUGCCGUAGUGUCCCCGGUUUUU